Molecule: ribosomal RNA, 502 nt
Filed under: uncultured bacterium
Lineage: Bacteria
Description: partial 16S ribosomal RNA
Rfam family: Bacterial small subunit ribosomal RNA
Source: RNAcentral
ACUCAAAGGAAUUGACGGGGACCCGCACAAGCGGUGGAGCAUGUGGAUUAAUUCGAUACUAACCGAAGAACCUUACCCAGGUUUGACAUUGAAGGAAAGCCCAAGAGAUUGGGCCCUCCCCCACAAGGGGACCUGAAAACAGAUGUUGCAUGGCUGUCGUCAGCUCGUGCCGUGAGGUGUACGGUUAAGUCCGCCAACGAGCGCAACCCUCGUCCUAUGUUGCCAGCGAGUAAAGUCGGGAACUCAUAGGAGACCGCCGGUGUAAGCCGGAGGAAGGUGAGGAUGAUGUCAAGUCAGCAUGGCUCUUACGCCUGGGGCUUCACACAUGCUACAAUGGGCGCAACAAAGGGCAGCAAAACCGCGAGGUAGAGCCAAUCCCAAAAAUACGCCCCCAGUUCAGAUUGCAGUCUGCAACUCGACUGCAUGAAGGCGGAAUCGCUAGUAAACGCAGGUCAGCUAUACUGCGUUGAAUACGUUCCCGGGUCUUGUACACACCGCCCGU